GGACGGGUGAGUAACACGUGGGUAACCUGCCCAUAAGACUGGGAUAACUCCGGGAAACCGGGGCUAAUACCGGAUAACAUUUUGAACCGCAGGGAUCGAAAUUGAAAGGCGGCUUCGGCUGUCACUUAUGGAUGGACCCGCGUCGCAUUAGCUAGUUGGUGAGGUAACGGCUCACCAAGGCAACGAUGCGUAGCCGACCUGAGAGGGUGAUCGGCCACACUGGGACUGAGACACGGCCCAGACUCCUACGGGAGGCAGCAGUAGGGAAUCUUCCGCAAUGGACGAAAGUCUGACGGAGCAACGCCGCGUGAGUGAUGAAGGCUUUCGGGUCGUAAAACUCUGUUGUUAGGGAAGAACAAGUGCUAGUUGAAUAAGCUGGCACCUUGACGGUACCUAACCAGAAAGCCACGGCUAACUACGUGCCAGCAGCCGCGGUAAUACGUAGGUGGCAAGCGUUAUCCGGAAUUAUUGGGCGUAAAGCGCGCGCAGGUGGUUUCUUAACUCUGAUGUGAAAGCCCACGGCUCUACCGUGGAGGGUCAUUGGAAACUGGGAGACUUGAGUGCAGAAGAGGAAAGUGGAAUCCCAUGUGUAGCGGUGAAAUGCGUAGAGAUUGGAGGAGAGCAUCGCGGUGGGACUUU
This 639-nucleotide ribosomal RNA is filed under the name Bacillus sp. SG-20. Its description in RNAcentral is "bacterial SSU rRNA". It matches the Rfam family "Bacterial small subunit ribosomal RNA", at positions 100 to 728 of the family's 1533-position model. The record is from RNAcentral. Lineage: Bacteria; Bacillati; Bacillota; Bacilli; Caryophanales; Bacillaceae.